Pelobates cultripes (western spadefoot toad) is the source of this 239-nucleotide non-coding RNA. Lineage: Eukaryota; Metazoa; Chordata; Amphibia; Anura; Pelobatidae. The record is from the annotation of a GenBank genome assembly.
CACACACACAGUCACACACAAACAGACAGUCACACACACACACAGUCACACAGACAGUCACACACUCACAGACAGUCACACACUCACACAGACACACUGACCUCCUUCUUACCUCCUGCUUGGAGCUCCUGGAGGCUGUUUGUUGGGGAAGCAGGGACUCCUUCCUGCUUCCCAUGCUGCAAUUAGCCGGCCCCGCCGCACAGUAAGCUCCGCCUCCGCCGCACGCUAAGCCCCGCCCC